This 468-nucleotide ribosomal RNA is filed under the name uncultured bacterium. Its description in RNAcentral is "partial 16S ribosomal RNA". It matches the Rfam family "Bacterial small subunit ribosomal RNA", at positions 28 to 507 of the family's 1533-position model. The record is from RNAcentral.
GACGAACGCUGGCGGCGUGCUUAACACAUGCAAGUCGAACGGAAAGGCCCUGCUUUUGUGGGGUGCUCGAGUGGCGAACGGGUGAGUAACACGUGAGUAACCUGCCCUUGACUUUGGGAUAACUUCAGGAAACUGGGGCUAAUACCGGAUAGGAGCUCCUGCUGCAUGGUGGGGGUUGGAAAGUUUCGGCGGUUGGGGAUGGACUCGCGGCUUAUCAGCUUGUUGGUGGGGUAGUGGCUUACCAAGGCUUUGACGGGUAGCCGGCCUGAGAGGGUGACCGGCCACAUUGGGACUGAGAUACGGCCAAGACGCCUACGGGAGGCAGCAGUGGGGAAUAUUGCACAAUGGGCGGAAGCCUGAUGCAGCAACGCCGCGUGCGGGAUGACGGCCUUCGGGUUGUAAACCGCUUUCGCCUGUGACGAAGCGUGAGUGACGGUAAUGGGUAAAGAAGCACCGGCUAACUACGUG